RNAcentral lists this ribosomal RNA (446 nucleotides) under uncultured bacterium. Its description in RNAcentral is "bacterial SSU rRNA". It matches the Rfam family "Bacterial small subunit ribosomal RNA", at positions 1052 to 1504 of the family's 1533-position model. The record is from RNAcentral.
UAGUCAGCUGGUGUCGUGAGAUGUUGGGUUAAGUCCCGCAACGAGCGCAACCCUUACCGUCAGUUGCUACGCAAGAGCACUCUGGCAGGACUGCCGUUGACAAAACGGAGGAAGGUGGGGAGGACGUCAAAUCAUCAUGCCCCUUAUAUCUUGGGCUACACACGUACUACAAUGGCGCAAACAAAGAGCAGCGACCCCGUGAGGGCGAGCGAAUCUCAUAAAAGGCGUCCCAGUUCGGACUGCAGGUUGCAACUCGCCUGCAAGAAGUUGGAAUUGGUAGUAAUCGAGAAUCAGCAUGUCGCGGUGAAUACGUUCCCGGGCUUUGUACACACCGCCCGUCAAACCAUGAAAGUUGAAAACACCUGAAGCCGAUGAGCUAACCGCAAGGAGGCAGUCGUCGAAGGUGGGUUCAAUGAUUGGGGUUAAGUCGUAACAAGGUAGCCGUA